CAUGUGUACAAGGCUGUUUGAUAACACAGGGUUUCUCAGCCGCGUGCUCUCAUUUGCUUGUCUAACCAUUGCCAUUAUUAUUUUAGAGUAAUUAUAAUUUACCUGUACAAAUUAGGUGGGUAAGAGGAAGGAUUCGAUGUCAUAGAAGGAGCACGCUGACCGGAAUUAAAUGGAAAAUUCCAAGGAGGAGUUCUUAAAGCAAUUGUGUAACACUUAAUUGUCUAAUAUAAAGUGUAAUUUCCCAAAAGACACCGUAUUAGCCUUCUGGUGGUUAGCUAUUACAUUUGGUCCUUUUAAAAUCACUUUGAGCUACUUAAAUACAGAUUUAAAAAGGGAUCAAACUUUUUCCCCUACUAAUAAUGCCAAGUGCUUUUCUCAUAGCUUAUUCAUCUUCAAAGUUCUUCACCAACAUUAGCUAAUUAUUCUUUUUUCUAAUUAGCAGAAAUUGACUGUGGUCAAAAGGGCCAUUCAGCCAAUUAGCACAGUUCUACCUUCAAAUCUCCAAGCUUCUGACCCAGAGCUUUCAAGUGGCUGAUGAAGAUAUCAUAAAGCGGUUGUGCUGAGCCUAUAUUAAAGGCAGCCAACUGGAGAAAAAGAAAGGAAAAAAAAAAACAACAAAAAAACCCAAACAUGUAAAGGAAGUGUAUCAAAUCUUCUCAUUCGCAGCUUUCCCCAGAGGCGCCAGCAUGGAGAAUGCAGGGCGGGAUGCAGGGGUCCUGCUGCCCUGCGCGCAGCUGCAUGAAACGCGGUGCAGGUGGGGUUACCCAAGCCUUGUCUGAAGGCACAGAGGCAUGUGGGGCUCAUGGUGGCCACCUGUUCAGGGGCUGCUUUUGUUCCUGCAUGCUUUUUCACACUGGAUGUGGCCGGGGUCACGCGGGUGUUACUCAAGCGGUGGCAGCGUCCCGCUCAGCAGAAUCCCUGCUCUGGGUCAGAACUGUCUGUAUUAAUAACAAGUACCUCCACUUGGAAAUUAUUUACAUGAAACAUUGUUCUCACGUCACUGCCACUGACAGCGGCUCCGGACUGGGUGAGAGAAGGACACCGUGAUGAAUUCACCCAUGUGCUGCGUGAGACAAGGAGAGCUGGAGGACUUCAGAGCAAGUUUAAAACCUUAAUCCCUGAAUAAUGCCUCCACCUGCCUCCUGGUUUUCUUUGGGGACCUUCCAGCA
This 1169-nucleotide long non-coding RNA is filed under the name Phasianus colchicus (ring-necked pheasant). Its description in RNAcentral is "lncRNA (ENSPCLG00000020657.1)". The record is from RNAcentral. Lineage: Eukaryota; Metazoa; Chordata; Aves; Galliformes; Phasianidae.